AGGCAUGAGAUUCAGUGGUGAAGCUGACCAAUUCCUCCCCUGGACUCACAGAGCUCUGAUUAGUGACAACAGAUAAUGCAGACAUUUAGACAAUGGAUCAUUUGGCUAUAGUUUUGGUAAGUUGUAGAGAAAAAGAAAAACUGAAAACAGAGACUCAAUAACAGGUGGACGUCAAGCAACCUUGGUGAUGGGAGUGUGGGGACCUCCUGGAGAAGGAGAGACCAAGACAAGGUAUGGCUAGCACAAGUGUGGUGAGGGGCCAGCAUCCUCAACCUGGAAGAGGAUGAACUAGUCUAAGAACUGUGUGUGAUCAGGUAACAUUGCACCCUGAUCACACAGGGUCUUGUGCACCCUGAAGUAUUUCUGGAUUUUAUCUUCCAGGAAACAGGAAAACUUUCAGUAAAGGAAGAUAUGAACAGAUUGAUGUUUUGAGAAGAGCACCAUUCUGUAGGGACUGCUCUUCAGGAGGACUGUUCUGAUAUAAACAGUCACAAAACUCAUCAUUAACCCAACGCCUAGAUGAUGAGCAAUCAGUAAUCUAAGUGGUUUAUGAGGACUUCUCACGUAACCCUCACACAAGUCCUCAAAAAAUAAAAUAAAUUACUUCACAGUUGAGUGGAAUUAGACAGGAAGAGUCUUUUGUCAUUAUCAUGGUCUUGGAGGUUUGGAGAGGAGUCUCUUAUGUUGAAAUUGGCUCAGGGAGCCACCCAUGAGAAGGCACAAAUGUGGUAAUUACUCAGAUUGUGUGUGUCCGGGGAGGGGAAGUGGCCCACUGGGAGGAGUUUGGUUUGUAGGUAGGAGCUGGCUUUGCUGGGUCUGGAGAGUUUAGCUCAGCCUUAUCAUCAACCCCAUGGAUUGACAGGUGGAGACAGUCGGAAUUCACUUGAAGGAAGUUGGUUCCCACAGUGAGGAAAGGUUAUGUGAACCACAGCAAGAAGGGGCUGUCUACAACCCUAGGAGAGAGCCUCCACCAGACAUCAACCCUACUGCUCCUUGACCUGGGACUUCCAGUCUCCAGAACUGGUUCCACUCAGGAAUAGAUGUCACCCUCAUAUGCCCUGUGUCAUCAGCCUCCUGCAAUCUGAAGAACUCCUCAGUGUUUCUCUGUCCCUCAUCCCCUUGACCGUCUUCAGGAAUAAAGGAGUUGCAUUCCAUAGGAUGACCCUCAAUCUGGUUCCACCCAAUGUCUACUUAUAAGAAGACUGAGGUCAUGCAUUCCUGGAUGCACAUCCCACAAAUGAGAUUGUGGUCAUGUCCCUCAACAUCAAGGGCUCAGGAUGUCCUCCUAUCCUGUCCCUAGUGGUAUUCCCUCUGAUCACCUGGUCAAGCAGGUAUCUGUCAGGUUUCUCAUGCUGAGGUCCCAAAUUUUCCCUUGGAGUUUGGGGAUAAAUAUUUGAGUAUUCAUCCACUAUCAUGGCCCUCUUCAACCAUGCAACUGUCAUUCUUAUUACAUCCAUUGAUUACUCUAACCUGAUCAUGCACCAUGCUGGUAACUAAAUAAUCAUGGUCUCUUUUAAUUACUCCAGCCUUGAUUAGUUGGCAUUCUACUCUAACGUUUUCCCGUGUAUUAAUUUAUUAGUUAUUCAUUUACAAAUAUGACUAUGAAUUAUUGGCUUUCUGUUCUAGUCAAUGCAUUUUAAUCCAAUACUCACAUUCUUUACAUGGAUGUUUUGAUUAUCCUAGAUUUUUUCCAAAAGUUUCUUCUGGCUGGCUCCUGUGUCAUUCUGACUUGUCUCCACCAUUCAUUUUUGAGAGCUUUUGCACUUUCUGGCAACAAUAAGAUGCUCCAGCAUCCUCUAGGGCUCCCCUGUCUCAACCUGGAAUAAAGAAUUUCUGUAUCCUACAACUUACUGAAUUUAUUAUUUCUUAUCAUUUUUUUGCAAAUUCUUUGGGGCUUUAUGUAUAUAAAAUCAUGUCAUGUGCAAAUAGUGACAGUUUUACUUCUUCUUUUCCAGUUUUGAUCCCUUUUAUUUCUUUUUCUUGUCUAAUUGCUCUGGAUAGGACAUCUAAUACCAGGUUAAAUAAAAGAAGCAAAAGUAGGCAUCCUUGUCUGCUUCCUAUUCUUAGAGGGGUAGCUUUCAGUUUUUCAUCAUUGAGUGUGAUAUUAGGUGUGGGUUUGUUA
Molecule: non-coding RNA, 2122 nt
Organism: Equus caballus (horse)
Lineage: Eukaryota; Metazoa; Chordata; Mammalia; Perissodactyla; Equidae
Source: RefSeq, a predicted model, not a curated record